RNAcentral lists this long non-coding RNA (1175 nucleotides) under Erythranthe guttata (spotted monkey flower). RNAcentral's name for it is "long non-coding RNA (EGUT_LNC001114)". The record is from RNAcentral. Lineage: Eukaryota; Viridiplantae; Streptophyta; Magnoliopsida; Lamiales; Phrymaceae.
UACUUUCUCAAAAUCUGUGCGUAUAUACAUAUAUUGUUUACAAAAUUACAUUGUACAAAAACCAUAAUAGAGCGGCUAACAAAAUGAAAUCAGAGUUUCUAGCUCGGCUACAAAAAUGGCGCGAAGCAUGGCAUAUGAACAAAUCUCUGACUGGCCGCUCUUGGCUAGGUCAACUUCUAAUCAUGUACAUCAUUACCUGCAUCAUAAGUACCUAAUGAGCCAAUGGCUCAGCAAGUUGAAACUGAUAUAAUAGAAAUAUAUCACAUAACACAUUAUUCAUUCAAUAUGUACAAUAUCACAUAUAACUUCAUUUAUGAUCCUUUCUUUUGAAAUCCUUCUCUUUAUCGGGUACCCUUGAAGUGUGGUACUUGACUGAUAGCAAUAGACUUUGAUUUUCGGAACCUGUUCAUCAUAUUUGGCCAAUAGAUAAUACGGGGGUUUCUAUACCGGCCUUUCGACCUCAGGUAUUAGCCGUAUUUCAUUUCUUUAAUUGUGGGUUUUCCAUACUGGUCUUACGACCUCAGGUAUUUGCCACCAUGUGUUGGGUCCGCCGGUUCCUCCCGCGUCCCUUGCCUACUCGACCAUCAAUCAAGUACCAUACUCCCAUUUUCAAAACAUAUUCUUUCAUAUCACUAUGACUCAUCAAUCAUUCAAACAUCAUAGAGAACACAUAGCAAAAGUCACAUUAAAACACACAUAAUUAGGUUCUUAUGAUGAGCAAAUGAAAGCUUCAACUUACCUCAAGAUCAAUAUGAUGUAUGAAGUGAAAGGAUCAGUCUUAGAUAGGGUGUGCUAGAAGCCUUGAUUAGAGAUGAAUUCAAACUUCAAAACAUAGGAUUUUCAGCUAGAAAAGGUGCAGAACUUGUUCUAGCUCUACUUCUAUGAGUUCUUAGGGUUUGAUAUUCUCUUAUGUGAACAUGGAAGUGAAGAAAUAAGAAGAAAAGCUUAAGUGAAUAGGUCUGGUCGUUUUUGGAAGAAGACAAGUGAAAAUGAAGACCAAAACACAAAGUCUUCACUUAUCUACCCAUUCCCAACAAGGCCAAAUGGAGGAUGCUGAUUGGAGGGCUUAUAUUUGCUGGAUUCUUGUGGUUCCUCCACGUUUUUCUAGCUUGAGAUAAGAUAUGGGCUGAUGCUUACUCAUUAUAAUCAAGUGUAAACACUUUGAGAAUGGUCUU